UACGGGGGGGGCAAGCGUUGUUCGGAAUUACUGGGCGUAAAGGGCUCGUAGGUGGCCAACUAAGUCGGACGUGAAAUCCCUCGGCUUAACCGGGGAACUGCGUCCGAUACUGGAUGGCUUGAGUUCGGGAGAGGGAUGCGGAAUUCCAGGUGUAGCGGUGAAAUGCGUAGAUAUCUGGAGGAACACCGGUGGCGAAGGCGGCAUCCUGGACCAACACUGACACUGAGGAGCGAAAGCCAGGGGAGCAAACGGG
RNAcentral lists this ribosomal RNA (253 nucleotides) under uncultured bacterium. RNAcentral's name for it is "partial 16S ribosomal RNA". It matches the Rfam family "Bacterial small subunit ribosomal RNA", at positions 524 to 776 of the family's 1533-position model. The record is from RNAcentral.